UACGGAGGGAGCUAGCGUUGUUCGGAAAUACUGGGCGUAAAGCGCACGUAGGCGGCGCAGCAAGUCAGGGGUGAAAUCCCGGGGCUCAACCCCGGAACUGCCCUUGAAACUGCAGUGCUAGAAUCUUGGAGAGGCGAGUGGAAUUCCGAGUGUAGAGGUGAAAUUCGUAGAUAUUGGGAAGAACACCGGUGGCGAAGGCGGCCAUCUGGACCGCAACUGACGCUGAGACGCGAAAGCGUGGGGAGCAAACAGG
RNAcentral lists this ribosomal RNA (253 nucleotides) under uncultured bacterium. Its description in RNAcentral is "partial 16S ribosomal RNA". It matches the Rfam family "Bacterial small subunit ribosomal RNA", at positions 524 to 776 of the family's 1533-position model. The record is from RNAcentral.